GUCUUCACCCCGACGCAGACAAACGGGGACGCGUGUGUCAGUGUGUGUGUGUGUGUGUGUGUGUGUGUGUGAGAGAGAGAGAGAGAGAGACAGACAGACAGACAGACAGAUACGUGUCGUGGGCAAGGGUCUGACCUGAACGUGUCCGCGACCAACUCGAGUUAAGUCCCUGGGGGGUUGUUUGCGGAGACCCGGAGGAGGGCGUUGCCCAAGCCGACUGGGUGACCUGACCAGGUGGGGCCCAAGUGAGAAAAGGCCGAACCGCCUGCAGGGGCGGGGGUGGUCCGGGCCCAGACCGCCGCGUGCUCGCGCGCCCACACCUGCCGCCACCAGCCCCCACACACCUCGCCCUUCCCAACGCCCCUGGAGAUCCACCAGAGGCAGUUCCCGCGGUGCCGGGACUCGGGCACGCCUCCGUGGGGUCUCUUCCGGGGGACGCGGGCAGUGCGGCGCGGUUACCCGGCACCUGGGGGGCGGAGUCCGAGGUCCCCCGCCAGGGGGGCGGCGCGGGAUUGGGACGCGCGGGCGCGGGGCCCCGGGGCUCGGCGCGCGUCACAGUGGUGCGCGCUUCCGUCUGGCGCGGCCCCCGGGCGGCCCAGGCUGGGUCCUGAGCGUCCCGAGCGCGUUCCGGAAAGGUGACUCAGCGACGCGCUCCAGGGUCGAGAAACUCCGCAAAACUAAGAACGAGUGAAGGCUGCGGUCGAAGCCUGGAUUAGGCGCCUGGAAAACGCGGGACGCGGGGCGGUGCUCCCCGAGAGCUCAGCCUUGGAGGGAGGUAGCUGCGGAGAAGGCCAGGGCAGCCUCCCCUGUCCCCCGCUCGGGAGAGCAAUCAGGCCCGAAGAGCCGCCGCUUUAAACCUUGGAGUCUGGUGGGAAACUGAGGCACAGGGAAGGGAAGACCUGGCCGUGCAGGAGUGCGUGGUGAGAAAUCUCGCCUGCUCCAGGGUCCCUCUCUUUCUCCUAGCGCCCCAGGCUGGAGCCGCUGGAGGCGCAGGGCCCGGCGGGGGGCGGGAUUGACCAGAAAGCCUGGGGGCGAGGGGAGGGGGGGCAGCCUGCUGGCUUCUUUAUCCCGCCUCCGGGGCCCAGUGGGAGGGAGGUGAAAGGCAAAGCCCUCUGGCCCCGAUUCCAGUGCGCACAAUGGUUCCUCUGUGCUCCUUGCCGCCUCUUCCCCUGCCCCCCUCACCUCCACGGUCACUGCUCUGCCCCCCCCCAUUCUUGUCAUUGGCCUCCUGGUUCCCAGGCUCUGUCUCUCCAAGCACGCACUGACCUCCAGCCUCUCUCUCUAAAGAACCGUAUCUGUCUCCAGCAAGUCACGCAUCAGUAUGGGAGGCCCAAGAGAGGGAACUGGGCAAGAACAGGACGUUUGUGGCCCUUUGACAGUUGGGGGAACCGAAACCCUGGGGAGGUGAAGGGUCUUGCCCAAUCUGCCAACCAGUUCCCGGCAGACCCCGGAGGGCUGCCCGGCGGCCUGGGAGACUGAGCCCACCCCAGCUUCUCACUGAUGUUUGAGUAGCCCUUGACCCGAGUGAAAAAGCAAUAAUCAACGGUGCCUGGCACCAGCUCUCUGGAAACUUGGAGCCAAGGCCGCCAGAUGGCAAGUGACUGGCUUUUAUUAGGAUAGGAUUCCCGCCAUCCCACCGGUCCCCGAAGCAGUCUCCACCCCCCCCUCCCCGGAGGUUUGAGCUCCCAAGCCGAAUUCCAGAGCCUCCAGGCCUCUCUUGACCUUGACUCCUUUCUCCCCGGGAGGCUGUCAGAGCAGGGAAGGGAGGUGACCGGCCUGCCAACUGCUCUGCAGACUCGUGUUCUCCGACAGCCCCGGAGGUCACAAGUCUCAGAUGGAUCAGCGGAGCUGCACUGCCCCACCUGCUCAACCUUUGGAGACCACCUGGGUUGUUUGGCUCAGGACCCUUCCUUCGUUCCAAAGUCAGCAGCACGGGACUUCAGAUCUGUCUGACUUUUACUUCCACCGUUGUCUCUCUGACUGAUUUUCUUACCUCUCUCUUCCUCUUAGGAACCCUUGGUUGCACUGGCCCCACACAGAUAAUCCAGGGUAAUCUCACCCUUCUAGAGCUUUAAUGUAGGGCUCCUAAACCUCCUCAAAGUCGCCUUUGCCAUAUAAGGUCACCAAUUCACUGAUGCCAGGGAUUAUGACCUGGACAUUUGAGGGGCUGUUACUCUGCCAGCCACGGAUAGGGAAAUGAAGGCUAGAAACUGUGUCCUUUCUUGGCUACAGAACUUUAUUUCAUUUUAUUCAAGAUUUUAUUUAUUUGAGAUAGAGAGCAUACAAGUGGGGGCAGGGCAGAGGGAGAGGCAGAAGCAGUCUCCCCGCUGAGCAGGGCUUCCAUCUACCCAGGCACCUGGGCCACAGAACUUUCUGACCUUCCCCACCUCCCGAGCCCUACCAAGUGAACGCAAACCGGAGCUUGCUUUCCCCCAAAUUAGCACCUGUCAUGUGGAGGUGAAUAUAUUUUUGCUAGCAUCAACACGUGAUUCUGUCUACUUUGUGGGUAGAGGUCCCUACGGGGGAAAAAAAACAAACAAAAAAAACACUGGUUUCCAAUUUUGAAAAUUACCCAAGAGAGAGAAAUUGGCAUCUUGGCUAAACAUAGUAAUCCAGGAUUCCAAAACCCCAACUUUUCACCUGAGGAAGGGUUGGGAAGCAGACCAACCCAUCCUCUUUGGGCCUGGCAGAAUUCCCCACUCGGCUUUGCAGGAAGGGUUUGCCCCAGGGCCCGGGCCCCCUGGGUGCCCAAAGGAAGUGUGUGGCCCUCUCAGCUCGCAUCAUGUGAUCUGGCAGUCGGUCCUCCGUGGUGAAGCUGCCCCAGACCAGCCAGCCGCACAGAAAAUUGUGGCUAGGAACAUUCCACAGGCUGUCGCUGACAUCAGCUCCGGUCUGGGCCUAAAGCAGCCUCUGGCCUGAUGUCCAGUGCCCAACCCCACAUCCUGGAUACUUGCAAGGGGAGAGAAUGUCCCUUUCUGAGGCUGCAGCCAGCCCUCCACCCCACCCAGCUCUGCCCCCUUGCUCAUUUGUCCUGGUUUAGAGACCUGGGGCAUCCGAGGGAAGAGGAACCAUAUUGAACCACCUUAGGCAAGUCGCCCAAAGGAAAACUUAUGGGAGUCAGGAUGAGGGCCCUGGCACGUCGGCGUGGGGGGAGCAGGCACGCGGAGCAGCAGGCAGCUUCCAGGCCAAGGGGAUGGGUGUGUCCACAGUUUUCCGGGGGCUUUUUAUUGUGCAAUGUUUUCCACUUUCACAUCUCUCAACCAGCGAGAUGUGUCCUUGGGUUGUUCCCAAAGCAAACAGGCAGUGGGCUGGACACACUCCCAAGCUGGACAUCUCGUUUGCGCCGGGGGUCCGGGGCUGUUCCUCCUACCUGGGGGUGGACCGCGUCUGCCAGGGGAAGGUGAAGUGCCUUCUUACCCAGACCCUAGAGAAAGCACUCGCGGCCUCUGGGAACGGCCACUGGAGGCGCCCCACUGACCCCUGGUGGCCACCUGGGGGGAUGUGUCCCUGUCCUCUUUCAUCCAAACCCUGAAGCCGCUCAGGCUUCCUCCUCCCUAGAUGUAUGCCCUUUGUGGGGGGUGGGCGGGGUGGGGGAGUAGCUUAGGGGGCAAAAGAAGGGCACGGACGCCCUACUUCGUCCAGCUGCACGAAGACGCGGGUGCUGGAGGGGGCCUCGCUCACCCCUGCUGCUCAUUAUCCACAUCCUAAAAAUAGAAAUUCCCCUUUCCUGGAGGCUUGCCUGUUGAAGGUCAAACCCUUCGAUUUUUUACCAGACACAACCCUGGUUAUCUAAGCAACGGACAGCUGGGGCGGAGGAGGGGAGCUGGGGGCGAGGGGACAGGGACGCUGUAACCUAAUUGCGCACGUGUGCCCCUAAGUCUCCGGGCAUCAAGGGGUGUGAUUCGCGCAUCCGACAGGAGAGCCCAUAACCAAAGCAAGAGUUCCUGGUUGUCACUGCUCACCGCCCUGAGGUCCUGGCCACGGCCACAUGACCAGCAUCUUGAAAAUGAGUUAAGAUGUCAUUUCUCCUUCAGGGCAUCCUCAGAUAAUCCCAGCAACCUUCGCCAGAACUCACUUUCGAAAUGGAAUGGGGAACCAAGUGAUCACCUGUCAAAGCUCACAGACUAAUUAGUUAAGUGACAUUGUUUACUGGAAGUCAACCAAAAAAAUGCGCCGGGCGGGGCCGGGCGAGUGCCUCUGAGCUGCGGGGAGCUUUGGAAGACGCUGCAGAACACCUCUUUUCUUUUGUCUUCUUGUCUCCGUCCCCGAACUGCAGUCAUCACGGGUCUGUGCACGGAAGUCCUCAAGAAGGGCUUACGGGCUGACCUCUCCCAACCGCAGGCCCCUGGCGGAUGCAGCAGGAUGGCCCGGAGGAGGAGCCGCACCUGGGUGCCAGGUGGCUGCUGCGCUGAUGCUGAGAGCCAGGAAGGGCACGGCCCGACACUCCACCUCCUCCUGGCCGGGCCCGGCAGGCCGGCGGAUCCCAGGAGCCAGGGACAGAUGGUCCCGACGCGGAGUCAAAAUGGUGCAUCAGUCUUCCUAACUCAGAUGGCCUGGGAAAAUCCAGAGCAUCGGAACUUGGCAUUUGCAAAGAAGCACAAAGAUCCUAUCAUUUUUUUGGCUGAGUUCCAGGUGCCACGGACACGGAUCUGGGACUACUCGGUUCUCAGACUGAGGACACUGAGCACUUACGGAGGGAGAACUCGAUAGCUGCAGAGUGUGGGCAGCCGGGGUGGGUCGGCCUCCUCCCGCUCUUGGCAGGGACGAGUGAAAUUCACAAGGGGAGAGGCGCGUUGUGUCCUGGGGGUAGAUCGCUUCCUCCGAUGUGCAGCCUUCAGCGUUGCGGGAGCCAUACGGGCUCGGGCGAGACUGGGAGCAGGGAUCCACAGCAAACCCCAGGACACCGAGGGAGGGCCAUGUCCCUGCAGUCUGGGGCCUGAGUGAAGGGGCAGUGGUGGGGGGGAGGGGCUACUUUUAAUUCUAGACCAAGACCCGAGUGUUGCAGGCGCUCAAUAAAGACCAGCCUGUCAACCAUGAAAAAAAUGGACCUAACAGAGAUGGAAAAUAAAGCUAGGAUUACCCA
Molecule: long non-coding RNA, 5083 nt
Organism: Mustela erminea (ermine)
Lineage: Eukaryota; Metazoa; Chordata; Mammalia; Carnivora; Mustelidae
Exons: 4
Source: RefSeq, a predicted model, not a curated record